Molecule: long non-coding RNA, 1269 nt
Filed under: Homo sapiens (human)
Lineage: Eukaryota; Metazoa; Chordata; Mammalia; Primates; Hominidae
Description: long non-coding RNA NONHSAT149214.1
Source: RNAcentral
GUUAGACAUGGGCACUCCACAGAAGGAUGUUAUUAUCAAGUCAGAUGCACCGGACACUUUGUUAUUGGAGAAACAUGCAGAUUAUAUCGCAUCCUAUGGCUCAAAGAAAGAUGAUUAUAUUCUUACGCUGUAUGACAGUAUUAAUGUUAUUGACGUAAAUAAAGUUGUGGAAUAUGUUAAAGGUCUACAGAAAGAAGAUGGUUCUUUUGCUGGAGAUAUUUGGGGUAAUGUCAGAUUUAGUCCAUUCUACCCAAAAUACCAAUAUUAAAAUGUACUGGUUUUGCUAGUAACCAGUUUAUAAGUUUUUCAUCUUUUCAGGUCCCACUAAGCAGCUGGUCUAACUGGAGUUAAUGGUCUGCUGGAACUUCCAGCAUGCACUGUGGUAGUUAUAUCAGCAUAUACAGGAGCACUGGAACAGAGGGGGCCAGUCUAAAAGAUAAGGGAUGAACACAGUGCAGGCCAGAGAGACCAGCUGCUUCAUGGGAUGUGAAAAAUCUACUUUUAUAAAGUAGGGAGAAAUUGACACAAGAUUCUCUUUUUGUGCGGUGGCAACUUUGGCUUUGUUGGGGAAGCUUGAUGCUAUUAAUGUGGAAAAGGCAAUCGAAUUUGUUUUAUCCUGUAUGAACUUUGACGGUGGAUUUGGUUGCAGACCAGGUUCUGAAUCCCAUGCUGGGCAGAUCUAUUGUUGCACAGGAUUUCUGGCAAUUACAAGUCAGUUGCAUCAAGUAAAUUCUGAUUUACUUGGCUGGUGGCUUUGUGAACGACAAUUACCCUCAGGCGGGCUCAAUGGAAGGCCGGAGAAGUUACCAGAUGUAUGCUACUCAUGGUGGGUCCUGGCUUCCCUAAAGAUAAUUGGAAGACUUCAUUGGAUUGAUAGAGAGAAACUGCGUAAUUUCAUUUUAGCAUGUCAAGAUGAAGAAACGGGGGGAUUUGCAGACAGGCCAGGAGAUAUGGUGGAUCCUUUUCAUACCUUAUUUGGAAUUGCUGGAUUGUCACUUUUGGGAGAAGAACAGAUUAAACCUGUUAAUCCUGUCUUUUGCAUGCCUGAAGAAGUGCUUCAGAGAGUGAAUGUUCAGCCUGAGCUAGUGAGCUAGAUUCAUUGAAUUGAAAGUUGCAUAGUAUAGUUUUGCCAUUUUAACAUUUCUGUAUUUGAAGUGCUUAUCGAAUCUAAAAGUGACUACUGUUAAUAUUUUGUAUAUUGUGUUAAAUUAAUUUUAAUAAAUUAUAUAAUUAUACAUAUUGUAAAAUAAAGACCGGUAUUUUAUUUUC